UAGGGAAUCUUCCGCAAUGGGCGAAAGCCUGACGGAGCAACGCCGCGUGAGUGAUGAAGGUCUUCGGAUCGUAAAACUCUGUUAUUAGGGAAGAACAAAUGUGUAAGUAACUAUGCACGUCUUGACGGUACCUAAUCAGAAAGCCACGGCUAACUACGUGCCAGCAGCCGCGGUAAUACGUAGGUGGCAAGCGUUAUCCGGAAUUAUUGGGCGUAAAGCGCGCGUAGGCGGUUUUUUAAGUCUGAUGUGAAAGCCCACGGCUCAACCGUGGAAGGUCAUUGGAAACUGGAAAACUUGGGUGCAGAAGAGGAAAGUGGAAUUCCAUGUGUAGCGGUGAAAUGCGCAGAGAUAUGGAGGAACACCAAUGGCGAAGGCGACUUUCUGGUCUGUAACUGACGCUGAUGUGCGAAAGCGUGGGGAUCAAACAGG
Molecule: ribosomal RNA, 429 nt
Filed under: Actinomycetes bacterium
Lineage: Bacteria; Bacillati; Actinomycetota; Actinomycetes
Description: Actinobacteria bacterium partial 16S ribosomal RNA
Rfam family: Bacterial small subunit ribosomal RNA
Source: RNAcentral